CUUACUUUACCUACACCAUAGGACUUGUAACCGUCACUUCUGUCUUGAGUGGUUAAAAGAUAGAACAGUCUAGCCAAGUGUCAUGUCUCUUAUUCUUGAUCAGCUAUAGCUCUGGGGUUUUUGCAGAUUUUCAAAUAAAACUCAGAAAUUCCUUGUAUGAUUCUCUCAGGUCUCUCUUUUGUGGUAUUUUUGGAUCCUUACCAAGGCAGUGAUGGUAUAUGCCUUCUCUCAAGAUAUGUAGUAUUUGUGGUAUGAAGCAUAGUGACAUUGUCUUCUCUCUCACCCUACUCUAAUAAGGCUUUAAUAUCUGGAGCUCAUAGGUGGGAGAUAAAGUAUACAUACUUACAAGACAUUUAUUGCAUAGUCAAACCAUGGAUCCAGAGAAACAAGUCAAUAAGUCAAAUCAAGAUGUGCAUGUGUGGCGAAUGUAUGGUGUAUGGUGAUGAUGGUGAUAACAAUGGUGAAAGUCUAAUUCUACUUUUGCUCUUUUAAGGGGAUACAUACCUUUCUUGCACUUAGAAGCUUUUUGGGGAGAAUGAGAUGCUCUAUAUUUUCUUUUUCUUACCUCUCAGGUGGGUAUCUAGUACCCCUAAUUCUACUGUCGGACACUUGUCCAUUUUUACCUCUCGUCUCACUUUUUCUUUUCUUCGAGGUUCCGGGCACUUGCCCCUUUUUAUUUCCUCGUAUAUUAUUUAUUUUUAUUUAUAUUUUUUUUCUUCUUUUUUUUCUCUUUUUUUUUCUUUCUAGAGCACUCAUCUCCUGAAAUAAUGUAGCAAGUGGUAGUAACCAAAAUAACUGGAGCAUUUAUUUCACAGGGAAUAACAGGGAUAGGAAAAUGUUUUUGGCUAUUCUCUCCCGGAUUAGGAGUAGAAUAAUUUUGGGUAAAACUGGAGAUAGAAAUGAGUGGAUAUAUGUGGAUGGUACUUCCGGAGUAGAAGUAGCAUGUAUGAGUAAUCGUGCAAGUGAAUCUUGAUUUUAACCACAUGACAAGCUCCUAAGGGUCUACACAGCUUGACCACACUCAAUGCUCAUAAGCAGUAAAUAGUAAAUGUGUGGCUCAAGGUCUAGCAAGCAUGUAUAUAUGGCUAUGGUAGGAAUUUAAACUCUCAUCAUACAGGAACUCAUCAUGCAACAUUUUAAAGAUUUUCAAAGAUAAAAUUCUCCAGAAUUCUAGCAUCUCUAGGAAUAGAUAAACAGCAGCUCAACCUUCCCAUAUCGUAUCCGUUAACAACUUAGACUUCAGCUCAAGUUUUCAUCCCACAAGUUUAGGUCUAGAGCAAGCCUUAAAUUAUAACAGUUAUAUCUACACUUGAGAGAGAACUUCAAAUUUGCAAAUUAGACAGAGCAACUAUUCAUCAUAUCCAUGCUUAAGUUUUAUUAGAUACAGAUUAGCAUAGCCACUUUAUUUAUUUAUUAAACAUACUAAGCAAAAUAUAUAUAAGCAUAAAAUCUUCAUUUGGUUUUUCAUAGUUAUGUGUAUUUAUAUUCUAAUAUAGUAUAAGUAUAAAGAUAGAUAGAAAUACUUAUCGAGAUAAAUGGGGGUGCUCUCCCCCAAGCUGAAUUUUGACGUAAUUUCUCUUGAUGUAGCUAGCAGGUGGCAGAGGUGUGUUUGAAAGUCAGCAGUAUUUUGACAACGAUUAGAAUGUCCUCCGUCUGCUAGUCUUCUUGAUUCUUAAAUUCUGUGGAGCUCAAAUAGACAACAAAGCUUGUGGAACUAAUUAAGUGUUAGCAUAAAUAUCUAGCCUUCAUCAUGUUGAGCUUCCUUAAUAAAUGUUAUUUAUUUAGCAGGAUCAUAUACUUAUUAUUAUUAUAUAUAUAUAUAUAUAUUUAUAUAUUUUUAAUGUAAGAUGAAAACUCAAAGUUAUCUCAGCAAACCGUCUUUCUCCCCGGCAACGGCGCCAGAAAUGCUUGUUGAUAUUUGGUAACGCAAUAAGGAAACGAUCCGCAAGCGCACGAAUAUCGGUGAGCAUUUCACCCGGGAGGUUAUCUAGAGUUAUCGUAUUUAUAUUUUUACCACUGGGAGAAAGGGUGCAUCUGACUAACCAAAUCUAUUGCUACUAUCUCUUUAGGCUACAAAGAAUGUUUCUCGAUGUGAGUGAUGUAUAGAGAAGACUGCAACCUUAGUCUCGUUCUAACCUUGGUAAGGAUGAUCUACUGUUCUAUUGGGGAGGCUCACGGAAUCUAGACAAUGCAAAGGAUGUUCGACCCGCACCUAUAAACCUACCCGUCCUGCUAACGAGAUGUGAUCUGCAAAGGUAACUCGGAAAUGUCACGUUCCUCGCUACUACCACGGUCCAGCUAGUCAGGGGAUAUCUAUGAGUACCCUAGCCUAAACACCACGUUUACGCUAACAAGUGAUUACUCUAAUACUCAACCGGAAGAGGAUUAAAGUAAACUCAUAAACCAAACAACAAUAAAACAAGAACUUACUAGUAUUAGAAGUCGAAUUACUGAAGAAUCUUAGAAGCAAGCCUCGGGUUAGGAGACUUGAUCCCGCAGGUACAACUCAGAGUAGACACCGACAGGCCGGCCUUCCUCCGAUCCACACCUCCACUCUAUCUCUCUCAAUGUAAUAGAAACUAGAAGAUCUAUUUCUACUUUACAUUGGAUGCUAAGCCUAAAAAGAAAUAUUAUUUAGAGAAGAGGUUUUCCUUCGAGGGCCCCCCUCAAUCUCUAUGAUAAUUUCUUGUCUCCUCCAGGGGCCAGAGGGGGUCUCCUUAUAUAGUCCUCCCCUUCUAUGCGUUUUUGGGUCGAUAGGCGAGGUGGUACUAUGUUAUUCUGGAUCCAAUAGGUCGGUGGAACGUCGUGUGCGAAGAGAGUCCGGAACGGAGUCCAGAGGGGGGCGGGCGCCCAGGUCCUCAGGGCGGGCGCCCUGGGCCUGGACCCUUUCGGGCUCCGCUUCCUUCCGGUGGCUUCUGGAGUCUUCUAGAUGGUAGAAAACUGCGCGGUGGGUUGAUAUCUCUAUGUAAUCCCGACAUGUGGGCCUUUCUUCCUUAUUUCCUGAUAACCCCCUGUAGAAAUAGACAAACACCAAAACUCGUGGAAUUCUGUCAGAUAAAACCCUAAGUCUAGAUGUUGAUUUCUUUUGGAUCCUUUUCUUUGUUUAUUUGAUAAUUAAAUUUGAUACUUAAGGACCGUCAACAAACUCCCCCAAGCUUACCUCUUGCUCGUCCCUGAGCAAGGAUGAACUCAAGAGUUUCUGCAGAGGUUUCAUUUCUUAGAAGUACACACGCAUUUAAGCAAGAUCUCAUCUCUGAGUUAGAAUAAACUGUUAAGACUUAAAACUUACUUACUUUACCUACACCAUAGGACUUGUAACCGUCACUUCUGUCUUGAGUGGUUAAAAGAUAGAACAGUCUAGCCAAGUGUCAUGUCUCUUAUUCUUGAUCAGCUAUAGCUCUGGGGUUUUUGCAGAUUUUCAAAUAAAACUCAGAAAGUCCUUGUAUGAUUCUCUCAGGUCUCUCUUUUGUGGUAUUUUUGGAUCCUUACCAAGGCAGUGAUGGUAUAUGCCUUCUCUCAAGAUAUGUAGUAUUUGUGGUAUGAAGCAUAGUGACAUUGUCUUCUCUCUCACCCUACUAUAAUAAGGCUUUAAUAUCUGGAGCUCAUAGGUGGGAGAUAAAGUAUACAUACUUACAAGACAUUUAUUGCAUAGUCAAACCAUGGAUCCAGAGAAACAAGUCAAUAAGUCAAAUCAAGAUGUGCAUGUGUGGCGAAUGUAUGGUGUAUGGUGAUGAUGGUGAUAACAAUGGUGAAAGUCUAAUUCUACUUUUGCUCUUUUAAGGGGAUACAUACCUUUCUUGCACUUAGAAGCUUUUUGGGGAGAAUGAGAUGCUCUAUAUUUUCUUUUUCUUACCUCUCAGGUGGGUAUCUUGUACCCCUAAUUCUACUGUCGGACACUUGUCCAUUUUUACCUCUCGUCUCACUUUUUCUUUUCUUCGAGGUUCCGGGCACUUGCCCCUUUUUAUUUCCUCGUAUAUUAUUUAUUUUUAUUUAUAUUUUUUUUCUUCUUUUUUUUCUCUUUUUUUUCUUUCUAGAGCACUCAUCUCCUGAAAUAAUAUAGCAAGUGGUAGUAACCAAAAUAACUGGAGCAUUUAUUUCACAGGGAAUAACAGGGAUAGGAAAAUGUUUUUGGCUAUUCUCUCCCGGAUUAGGAGUAGAAUAAUUUUGGGUAAAACUGGAGAUAGAAAUGAGUGGAUAUAUGUGGAUGGUACUUCCGGAGUAGAAGUAGCAUGUAUGAGUAAUCGUGCAAGUGAAUCUUGAUUUUAACCACAUGACAAGCUCCUAAGGGUCUACACAGCUUGACCACACUCAAUGCUCAUAAGCAGUAAAUAGUAAAUGUGUGGCUCAAGGUCUAGCAAGCAUGUAUAUAUGGCUAUGGUAGGAAUUUAAACUCUCAUCAUACAGGAACUCAUCAUGCAACAUUUUAAAGAUUUUCAAAGAUAAAAUUCUCCAGAAUUCUAGCAUCUCUAGGAAUAGAUAAACAGCAGCUCAACAUUCCCAUAUCGUAUCCGUUAACAACUUAGACUUCAGCUCAAGUUUUCAUCCCACAAGUUUAGGUCUAGAGCAAGCCUUAAAUUAUAACAGUUAUAUCUAAACUUGAGAGAGAACUUCAAAUUUGCAAAUUAGACAGAGCAACUAUUCAUCAUAACCAUGCUUAAGUUUUAUUAGAUACAGAUUAGCAUAGCCACUUUAUUUAUUUAUUAAACAUACUAAGCAAAAUAUAUAUAAGCAUAAAAUCUUUAUUUGGUUUUUCAUAGUUAUGUGUAUUUAUAUUCUAAUAUAGUAUAAGUAUAAAGAUAGAUAGAAAUACUUAUCGAGAUAAAUGGGUGUGCUCUCCCCCAAGCUGAAUUUUGACGUAAUUUCUCUUGAUGUAGCUAGCAGGUGGCAGAGGUGUGUUUGAAAGUCAGCAGUAUUUUGACAGCGAUUAGAAUGUCCUCCGUCUGCUAGUCUUCUUGAUUCUUAAAUUCUGUGGAGCUCAAAUAGACAACAAAGCUUGUGGAACUAAUUAAGUGUUAGCAUAAAUAUCUAGCCUUCAUCAUGUUGAGCUUCCUUAAUAAAUGUUAUUUAUUUAGCAGGAUCAUAUACUUAUUAUUAUUAUAUAUAUAUAUUUAUAUAUUUUUAAUGUAAGAUGAAAACUCAAAGUUAUCUCAGCAAACCGUCUUUCUCCCCGGCAACGGCGCCAGAAAUGCUUGUUGAUAUUUGGUAACGCAAUAAGGAAACGAUCCGCAAGCGCACGGAUAUCGGUGAGCAUUUCACCCGGGAGUUUAUCUAGAGUUAUCGUAUUUAUAUUUUUACCACUGGGAGAAAGGGUGCAUCUGACUAACCAAAUCUAUUGCUACUAUCUCUUUAGGCUACAAAGAAUGUUUCUCGAUGUGAGUGAUGUAUAGAGAAGACUGCAACCUAAGUCUCGUUCUAACCUUGGUAAGGAUGAUCUACUGUUCUAUUGGGGAGGCUCAAGGAAUCUAGACAAUACAAAGGAUGUUCGACCCGCACCUAUAAACCUACCCGUCCUGCUAACGAGAUGUGAUCUGCAAAGGUAACUCGGAAAUGUCACGUUCCUCGCUACUACCACGGUCCAGCUAGUCAGGGGAUAUCUAUGAGUACCCUAGCCUAAACACCACGUUUACGCUAACAAGUGAUUACUCUAAUACUCAACCGGAAGAGGAUUAAAGAAAACUCAUAAACCAAACAACAAUAAAACAAGAACUUACUAGUAUUAGAAGUCGAAUUACUGAAGAAUCUUAGAAGCAAGCCUCGGGUUAGAAGACUUGAUCCCGCAGGUACAACUCGGAGUAGACACCGACAGGCCGGCCUUCCUCCGAUCCACACCUCCACUCUAUCUCUCUCAAUCUAGUAGAUACUAGAAGAUCUAUUUCUACUUUACAUUGGAUGCUAAGCCUAAAAAGAAAUAUUAUUUAGAGAAGAG
Molecule: long non-coding RNA, 5926 nt
Filed under: Sorghum bicolor (sorghum)
Lineage: Eukaryota; Viridiplantae; Streptophyta; Magnoliopsida; Poales; Poaceae
Description: long non-coding RNA (SBIC_LNC006673)
Source: RNAcentral